RNAcentral lists this long non-coding RNA (229 nucleotides) under Elaeis guineensis (African oil palm). RNAcentral describes it as "long non-coding RNA (EGUI_LNC035355)". Lineage: Eukaryota; Viridiplantae; Streptophyta; Magnoliopsida; Arecales; Arecaceae. The record is from RNAcentral.
CUUUUGUUCUCUAAUAACCACCUAUAUUUUCACUUAGUAUCCUCAUACUAUAAAUUCAAGACUCAUUUACUUUAAAAAAAAAUGAUCUAUGCAUCGAUCUAUAUUCAGAUCAAUUAUCAUUCCCAUGAUGAUCCAUCAAUCGAGAGCAAUUUAAAAAUUAAUCAUCAAAGAUGCAUAUCUCAAAUUCUCAGAUCUUGAGAAUAUAUGUCAACAUCUGAUUAAUUUUUUG